This 253-nucleotide ribosomal RNA is filed under the name uncultured bacterium. RNAcentral describes it as "partial 16S ribosomal RNA". It matches the Rfam family "Bacterial small subunit ribosomal RNA", at positions 524 to 776 of the family's 1533-position model. The record is from RNAcentral.
UACAGAGGUGGCAAGCGUUGUUCGGAAUUACUGGGCGUAAAGGGCGCGUAGGCGGCCCGUCAAGUCCCGUGUGAAAGCCCCCGGCUCAACCGGGGAACGGCGCGGGAAACUAGCAGGCUUGAGUUCGGGAGAGGGAAGCGGAAUUCCGGGUGUAGCGGUGAAAUGCGCAGAUAUCCGGAGGAACACCGGUGGCGAAGGCGGAUCUCUGGGCCAUUACUGACGCUGAGGAGCGAAAGCGUGGGGAGCGAACAGG